AGUUUAAAUUUCAGGUGCCGGGCAGGGUCUGUAGAUAGGAGAUUAACGCCAUCCUAUGAUUACCUUAAUGAGAGGAUCACAUCACAUCUGGUCCAGUUCAGCCACUGAUUACAGGUGCUGGCUGUGAGCCCUACUUCUCUAAUAGGGCUGUGCUCCGACCGCCUUCCUACCUAACCAGUCUCAUGUUUUUUCCAUCAGUGUGAUAAGCUUGCUAAAGAAGACUUCAACCUUUGUGCGUGUGUGACUGCAACUAUCGAUUUAAGUGAUCACCAGCUGCUUGUUGCCCUCCUGAGUGGACAAAGUCUACCUACAGAACCACUUGCAAGCCCUGGGAUUCAGCUUUGUCCUGCUGUUUCCAAAUUUGAGAUACCCUUAAGAGACAGCUCUCCUACCUCCUGGAAUGAGUGGGCUUUAUUUCGACUGGGGCCCCAUCCUAAGGUAACAGUCCCUUUUGAUCGCCUGCUGUCGUGUCUGGAGCCCAACUAUAUUCGCCAGCCUUUACAGAUGCGUUAGCAGAAUUGAAUGAAUAAUGUCUGAAAGCAUUUUGGAAGCAAUCAAACAUUAGAAAGUUGAUGAAUAGGUAUGGCAGUGUAUUUACUAAAGAGAUUGUAAAUGUCAGAAUUUAUCAGAGGACACUUGUUGGUUUUAAAGAUUUAUGUAAUAUUUAAAUGAAUUUUGGCACUUUUGGUAGGAGGGAUAGUUUUCUCGAAUUUUCAGAGCUUUCAGUGUGGGAAGCAAAGCAUUAGGGAAUUCUUUGAUUUCAAGGUUUUAAUAGCAGAGACAGGAGUGUGGCUUAUAUGAAUACCAGUUUAACAAGGGUUUAGUGGUCCUUUAAAAGACAAAGUUCUAGGACCAACUGUUUUAGUUUAUUAUAAAAAAUACCAAUCAUGAAAAACUGUGAGAAAUUAGUACUGUGGGGUCAGAGAAGUGGUCCUUGAAGAAAGAGCACUUGAGUUGACAUCUGAAAGACAGGAAGGCAUUAACCAGGGAGGAGACAGAUUUUUCAGAAAGUAAUGGGCAAAGCCUCUGUUGUCAGGGGAAGUGUGGUGUACCUGAAGACUAAACAAAUUCUGGCAUGUCCAGAGCGCAGAAUGAAAGGGAGAAUAGUGCGAGAUAGGGCUGGAAGGAGAGGCAGGGACAGGACAGUGGAGGCAUCCAGCAGGCUCUCUUAUAAGUCUUGAUCUUCAUCCUAAGAACAAGAGACAGUGUUGAAGUGUUAACAGGGCACAUGAUUCCUUGUUUCAAAAAGAUUACUCUGGCCGACUUUGGUUAGAGCACAUGUGGGGAGACCAGUCAAGGCUAUUGGAGUGGUUCAGGCGUGGGCCAGUGGUAGCUUGGAUUAGCAGAGGAGUGAGUGAAAGGGAAGCAGAUGGCUCUGGGAGUUCUGUAAAGGGUCAGAUGGACAGGAUGUAGUGUUGCCUUGUCUAGUGAAGGAAAAGCUUGGAACUUUUAUGUCCUGAGAUAAGAAACAUUGGAAGAGGGUCAUAGUUAUAUCUGGGACAUGUUGAGCCUA
RNAcentral lists this long non-coding RNA (1513 nucleotides) under Sus scrofa (pig). RNAcentral describes it as "lncRNA (ENSSSCG00070026145.1)". The record is from RNAcentral. Lineage: Eukaryota; Metazoa; Chordata; Mammalia; Artiodactyla; Suidae.